GCCAGGCGUGGUGGUGAACGCCUGUAGUCUCAGCCACUCAGGAGGCUGAGGCAGGAGGAUCACUUGAACCCAGGAGGUUGAGGCUGCAGUGAGCCAUGACUGUACCACUGCACUCCAACCUGGGUAACGAAGUGAGACUCUGUCUCAA
Homo sapiens (human) is the source of this 148-nucleotide non-coding RNA. It matches the Rfam family "Metazoan signal recognition particle RNA". Rfam says of the family: The signal recognition particle (SRP) is a universally conserved ribonucleoprotein. It is involved in the co-translational targeting of proteins to membranes. The record is from Rfam. Lineage: Eukaryota; Metazoa; Chordata; Mammalia; Primates; Hominidae.